Long non-coding RNA from Fukomys damarensis (Damara mole-rat), 1633 nucleotides. RefSeq lists it as uncharacterized. The transcript is spliced from 5 exons. NCBI's taxonomy places the organism in Eukaryota, Metazoa, Chordata, Mammalia, Rodentia, Bathyergidae. The record is from RefSeq and is a predicted model, not a curated record.
GCAAGGAGUAAGCCAAAUGUAUUCAUGUAUAAUUUUACAGUAAGAUAGAAAUGCAUAAAAACCAAAAAUACAGAUCUAAUAUUUUGGGUGUAUAUGGUGGGUGGAGAGGGUAAUUUAAGUAUUAUUUUCAUCUGAAAAUAACAGGGAUAACUUCAUGAAGAAACUGGAAUUAAGAAGCAAGAGGAGCAGGGAAUGGCAUUCCAGGGGCAGAGGCAGAAUGAGCAAAGGCACAGAUACAGAAAGUGGCAAUUCAAAAAAGUGUUUAAAGGUAAAAGUGUCUCAGAGAUAGACACGAUUUGAAAAUGUUCAGGAGAAGGAGAACAAUCAUACAAUGAAUACAUGGAGUUUUAAACUUUCGUGCAUGUAAAUUUUUUUUGCUUUUAUGAUAAGAUAAUUUUCUAAAUGGUUGUUUAAACUUAUACCACUCGCUGCUUACGGACCCAGUGAGAAGCUGCACACAUAGGAUAUCUUCACACCUUCAGGAGCACCAGGACAACCUUUUAAUGGACUCUUGGGGUAUGAAGAUUGGAAAACUAAGUUACGAAGCUGUGAAGAAAUUCAUCCAACAUCAUGUGAGUAGUGUGAUUCUGAACUCCAUUUCUCUGAACACACAGCCUUCACUCUACACUACUAUGUUAAAAUAAUUCCCACAUUUACUGCCUAUUCUACAUAGUAAUUCUGUGGAAUUGAUGUUUCUAGGAAAUUGUUCUGGGACAUAAUUGGGGCAGAAUAUUUUGUAUAAACAAUAGAUAAAUCGCUUUCACUUUUAAUGCUAACAAGGUAUGUCAGACAGAUUUCCCGUUGCUGGGACAAACUACUUGACACUCGAAUUUUAAAGGCAGAGAGGUUUAUUGUUGGUUACAGUUUCAGAAGAUUCAGUCUAUGGUUAGCUGGCACCAAGCCGGGAACAUUAUGGAGGAAGAGUUUGGCAGAGCAAAGCUGCUUAGUCCAUGGCGACCAGGAAGCAGAGUAGGAAAACAGCACAAGAGAGGAAGGAACAAGAGACCAGACAUAAACCCUAAGGUCACACCUACACCACCCACUCAGAUACACCCAGAAGUGUACUUUACUAAUGCAAGUGCAUUGGCUAAAACAGCUUGCAAAAAUGUUGAAUAUAAAAUUUUCACUCUAUAAGGUGAUACUGGACUUCCCUUCUUUGGUGUGUCUUAGUCACGUUACUUGUUGCUAAGUCACAAGACGUGAUACCCACAACUGAAAGGGGGAAAGGUUUAUUUUGCCUCUGAUUGUAGAGGUUUCAGUCCCUAGUCAUCUGGCUCCAGUCCAAAAUGCAAAUGGGGAAGGGCCGUUGGAGGAAAGCUGCUUACCACGUGGCAGACUGGAAACCGAGAGGGAGGGGUGAGGAAGGGCGAUACACCUGUGUAGGUCAUGCUCCUAGCAACCUGCCUCUUCUGACCAGACUCUAUCGCCUGUAAGUCAGCUACAGUGACCUCACAAUGCAAUCACCUUCUCAAAGCCUCACCAGAAGUGCAUGACAUGGAGGAUAUGUAGACAUCAACCACAACAGUCCAUAACCCUUCACAAACGUUCACUUUCUUGAAUUUUCCUGAAUUAAACUUAUUAAUAUGAUAGUAGUUUCUUAUUUGCAGGUUUUGAAUCUUUUUUUUUUCUUUUU